ACAGCAAUGGCAAGAAACAGAAGCUAUAGACGCAGCGCCUGGGAGAUGAACAGGAUUUGGGGAGCCGUACCUCACGUCAGAGAGGCCCUGGAAGGAAAGAACGUACGAGGCGACCUGAGUGGCCUUUCCAAGCAUCCUUGUGGUUCCGUGGUCCCAGGAGACCGGGGGCUCUCCCAAGUGCACCCAGAUGCGUGCCCCUAAUGGAACCGUGAGAUGAAUGGAAAAUUAAGAAGAUGGAGAUUAAGAGGAUUAUGAA
Physeter macrocephalus (sperm whale) is the source of this 256-nucleotide long non-coding RNA. RefSeq lists it as uncharacterized. The record is from RefSeq and is a predicted model, not a curated record. Lineage: Eukaryota; Metazoa; Chordata; Mammalia; Artiodactyla; Physeteridae. The transcript is spliced from 3 exons.